CAUCCCCUACGGGACGCAGCAGUGAGAAAUAUUGGUCGAUGGGCGGGAGCCUGAACCAGCCAAGUCGCGUGAGGGAAGACGGUCCUAUGGAUUGUAAACCUCUUUAGGCGGGGAGCAAUGCCGGGCACGUGUGCCCGGAGGGAGAGUACCCGCAGAAUAAGCAUCGGCUAACUCCGUGCCAGCAGCCGCGGUAAUACGGAGGAUGCGAGCGUUAUCCGGAUUUAUUGGGUUUAAAGGGUGCGUAGGCGGAUUUUUAAGUCAGCGGUAAAAUGUCCGGGCUCGACCCGGGCCGGCCGUUGGAACUG
Molecule: ribosomal RNA, 305 nt
Filed under: uncultured bacterium
Lineage: Bacteria
Description: bacterial SSU rRNA
Rfam family: Bacterial small subunit ribosomal RNA
Source: RNAcentral